RNAcentral lists this ribosomal RNA (592 nucleotides) under Debaryomyces hansenii. RNAcentral describes it as "eukaryotic LSU rRNA". It matches the Rfam family "Eukaryotic large subunit ribosomal RNA", at positions 49 to 656 of the family's 3401-position model. The record is from RNAcentral. Lineage: Eukaryota; Fungi; Ascomycota; Pichiomycetes; Serinales; Debaryomycetaceae.
UGCGGAGGAAAAGAAACCAACAGGGAUUGCCUUAGUAACGGCGAGUGAAGCGGCAAAAGCUCAAAUUUGAAAUCUGGCACCUUCGGUGUCCGAGUUGUAAUUUGAAGAAGGUAACUUUGGAGUUGGCUCUUGUCUAUGUUCCUUGGAACAGGACGUCACAGAGGGUGAGAAUCCCGUGCGAUGAGAUGCCCAAUUCUAUGUAAAGUGCUUUCGAAGAGUCGAGUUGUUUGGGAAUGCAGCUCUAAGUGGGUGGUAAAUUCCAUCUAAAGCUAAAUAUUGGCGAGAGACCGAUAGCGAACAAGUACAGUGAUGGAAAGAUGAAAAGAACUUUGAAAAGAGAGUGAAAAAGUACGUGAAAUUGUUGAAAGGGAAGGGCUUGAGAUCAGACUUGGUAUUUUGCGAUCCUUUCCUUCUUGGUUGGGUUCCUCGCAGCUUACUGGGCCAGCAUCGGUUUGGAUGGUAGGAUAAUGACUAAGGAAUGUGGCUCUACUUCGGUGGAGUGUUAUAGCCUUGGUUGAUACUGCCUGUCUAGACCGAGGACUGCGUCUUUUGACUAGGAUGUUGGCAUAAUGAUCUUAAGCCACCCGUCUUG